AUGCCUGAGGGGAUUAAUAACACAAUUAUUGUUCUCAUCCCGAAAAUUAAGAACCCUCAGUCUAUUAAAGAUUUCAGGCUGAUCAGUUUGUGCAAUGUUAUCUACAAGAUUAUUUUCAAAUACCUUGUUAAUAGACUUAGGCCGCUCCUUAAUGGUAUGAUUUCCCCUACUCAGAGUGCGUUUAUUCCGGGAAGGUUAAUUUCUGACAAUGCUCUCAUAGCCUUUGAAUGUAUGCAUUCGUUGAGUACGCUUAAAGAUUUAAGAGGGGAAUUAUGUGCGUAUAAGUUGGAUUUGGCGAAAGCUUAUGAUCGCGUAGACUGGCAUUUCUUGCAAAGUAUGAUGGGGGCUUUGGGUUUUGCGCCGAGGUGGAUAAAUUGGAUUAUGUUGUGUGUUACAUCGGUGAAAUUUGUCGUCCGCUUCAAUGGACAGUUGUUGGAGUCUUUUUCACCUUGUAGGGGACUCAGGCAGGGGAGCCCUUUAUCUGCGUACUUGUUCCUUUUUGUUGCUGAGGCACUUUCUUUGCUGCUUAAUGAUGCUUCAGCCAGAGGAUCUUUUCAGGAGUUUCAUUUGACUAGACAAGCUCCAGGUAUUUCUCACUUGCUGUUUGCGGAUGACAGUAUUUUAUUUUUCAAAGGCUCCACUGAUCAAGCAAUUGUCAUUAAAAAUAUUCUGAUGAAGUACGAGAAAGGGACUGGGCAGUUGUUAAGUCCUGAUAAGUGUUCCAUGAUGUUUGGGAAAAAGUGCAGUUUAGAGAAUCAAGUGGCUAUUAUGGUAAUCUUAAAAAUUGCGGUCGAUGGGUUCGAAGAUAAAUAUCUUGGUCUUCCGGUUCCUGACGGAAGAAUGAAAGCUGGUAAGUUUCAAUCUACUAAAGAUAAGGUUUUGAAAAGGCUCUCUGACUGGAUAGAGAAAUACGCUUCGUGUGGGGUGAAAGAAGACUUAAUAAAAUCAGUUAUUCAAGCUCUACCCGUGUAUGCUAUGGGUAUUUUUAAGUUCCCGGCUUCCCUUUGUGAGAAGUUAACACAGAUUAUCAGGAAUUUUUGGUGGGGAGAUGAGGAAGAUCGAAGAAAAACACAUUGGUUAGCUUGGGACAAAUUAACAAGGUCUAAAGGUAAGGGAGGUAUGGGAUUCCGGGAUCUCAGAUUAUUUAACCAAGCCCUCUUAGCCAAACAAGCGUGGAGGUUAUUGGUUCAUCCAGAUUCGUUGUCUGCUAAGCUGAUGAAGGCAAAGUAUUACCCUCAUGGACUUAUUCUUGAUACAGUGUUUCCUCGGUCUGCAUCAGUGACUUGGCAAGGUAUUAUGCAUGGUCUUGAAUUGCUUAAGAAUGGUGUCAUUUGGCGGUGGGUGAUGGAUCUAGCAUUAAUAUUUGGAGGGAUAAUUGGUUACCCAGGAGCACUAGACUUAAAAUUUCAGCUAAAAGGCAUAAUACUAGAUUGA
Molecule: ribosomal RNA, 1434 nt
Filed under: Triticum aestivum (bread wheat)
Lineage: Eukaryota; Viridiplantae; Streptophyta; Magnoliopsida; Poales; Poaceae
Description: partial small subunit ribosomal RNA
Source: RNAcentral